RNAcentral lists this ribosomal RNA (302 nucleotides) under uncultured bacterium. RNAcentral's name for it is "bacterial SSU rRNA". It matches the Rfam family "Bacterial small subunit ribosomal RNA", at positions 498 to 793 of the family's 1533-position model. The record is from RNAcentral.
UAACUACCGUCGCCACGCAGCCGCGGUAAGUACGGAGGGUGCGAGCGUUAAUACGGAAUUACUGGGCGUAAAGACGCAUGCAGGCGGCCUGUUAAGUCAGAUGUGAAAGCCCGGGGCUUAACCUCGGAAUUGCAUUUGAAACUGGCAGGCUAGAGUCUUGUAGAGGGGGGUAGGAAUUUCAGGUGUAGCGGUGAAAUGCGUAGAGAUCUGAAGGAAUACCAGUGGCGAGGCGGCCCCCUGGACAAAGACUGACGCUCAGAUGCGAAAGCGUGGGGAGCAAACAGGAUUAGAUACCCUGGUAG